This 2982-nucleotide ribosomal RNA is filed under the name Salmonella enterica. Its description in RNAcentral is "bacterial LSU rRNA". It matches the Rfam family "Bacterial large subunit ribosomal RNA". The record is from RNAcentral. Lineage: Bacteria; Pseudomonadati; Pseudomonadota; Gammaproteobacteria; Enterobacterales; Enterobacteriaceae.
UUAAGCGACCAAGCGUACACGGUGGAUGCCCUGGCAGUCAGAGGCGAUGAAGGACGUGCUAAUCUGCGAUAAGCGCCGGUAAGGUGAUAUGAACCGUUAUAACCGGCGAUUUCCGAAUGGGGAAACCCAGUGUGACUCGUCACACUAUCAUUAACUGAAUCCAUAGGUUAAUGAGGCGAACCGGGGGAACUGAAACAUCUAAGUACCCCGAGGAAAAGAAAUCAACCGAGAUUCCCCAGUAGCGGCGAGCGAACGGGGAGGAGCCCAGAGCCUGAAUCAGCAUGUGUGUUAGUGGAAGCGUCUGGAAAGGCGCGCGAUACAGGGUGACAGCCCCGUACACAAAAGCGCAUAUGCUGUGAGCUCGAUGAGUAGGGCGGGACACGUGGUAUCCUGUCUGAAUAUGGGGGGACCAUCCUCCAAGGCUAAAUACUCCUGACUGACCGAUAGUGAACCAGUACCGUGAGGGAAAGGCGAAAAGAACCCCGGCGAGGGAGUGAAACAGAACCUGAAACCGUGUACGUACAAGCAGUGGGAGCACAGGUUUACCUGUGUGACUGCGUACCUUUUGUAUAAUGGGUCAGCGACUUAUAUUCUGUAGCAAGGUUAACCGCAUAGGGGAGCCGAAGGGAAACCGAGUCUUAAUUGGGCGUUAAGUUGCAGGGUAUAGACCCGAAACCCGGUGAUCUAGCCAUGGCAGGUUGAAGGUUGGGUAACACUAACUGGAGGACCGAACCGACUAAUGUUGAAAAAUUAGCGGAUGACCUGUGGCUGGGGGUGAAAGGCCAAUCAAACCGGGAGAUAGCUGGUUCUCCCCGAAAGCUAUUUAGGUAGCGCCUCGUGAAUUCAUCUCCGGGGGUAGAGCACUGUUUCGGCUAGGGGGCCAUCCCGGCUUACCAACCCGAUGCAAACUGCGAAUACCGGAGAAUGUUAUCACGGGAGACACACGGCGGGUGCUAACGUCCGUCGUGAAGAGGGAAACAACCCAGACCGCCAGCUAAGGUCCCAAAGUCAUGGUUAAGUGGGAAACGAUGUGGGAAGGCCCAGACAGCCAGGAUGUUGGCUUAGAAGCAGCCAUCAUUUAAAGAAAGCGUAAUAGCUCACUGGUCGAGUCGGCCUGCGCGGAAGAUGUAACGGGGCUAAACCAUGCACCGAAGCUGCGGCAGCGAACGUAUCACUUAAAACGAUUCAGAAGCUUACGAUUGACGGAGCGAAGCGACGUCAAAGCGUAUACAAAGUCGAGUCGGUUUAAGGAUACGUUCGUUGGGUAGGGGAGCGUUCUGUAAGCCUGUGAAGGUGGCCUGUGAGGGUUGCUGGAGGUAUCAGAAGUGCGAAUGCUGACAUAAGUAACGAUAAAGCGGGUGAAAAGCCCGCUCGCCGGAAGACCAAGGGUUCCUGUCCAACGUUAAUCGGGGCAGGGUGAGUCGACCCCUAAGGCGAGGCCGAAAGGCGUAGUCGAUGGGAAACGGGUUAAUAUUCCCGUACUUGGUGUUACUGCGAAGGGGGGACGGAGAAGGCUAUGUUGGCCGGGCGACGGUUGUCCCGGUUUAAGCGUGUAGGCUGACUUUCCAGGCAAAUCCGGAGAGUUAAGGCUGAGGCGUGACGACGAGGCACCACGGUGCUGAAGCAACAAAUGCCCUGCUUCCAGGAAAAGCCUCUAAGCAUCAGGUAACAUCAAAUCGUACCCCAAACCGACACAGGUGGUCAGGUAGAGAAUACCAAGGCGCUUGAGAGAACUCGGGUGAAGGAACUAGGCAAAAUGGUGCCGUAACUUCGGGAGAAGGCACGCUGACACGUAGGUGAAGUGGUUUACCCAUGGAGCUGAAGUCAGUCGAAGAUACCAGCUGGCUGCAACUGUUUAUUAAAAACACAGCACUGUGCAAACACGAAAGUGGACGUAUACGGUGUGACGCCUGCCCGGUGCCGGAAGGUUAAUUGAUGGGGUCAGCGCAAGCGAAGCUCCUGAUCGAAGCCCCGGUAAACGGCGGCCGUAACUAUAACGGUCCUAAGGUAGCGAAAUUCCUUGUCGGGUAAGUUCCGACCUGCACGAAUGGCGUAAUGAUGGCCAGGCUGUCUCCACCCGAGACUCAGUGAAAUUGAACUCGCUGUGAAGAUGCAGUGUACCCGCGGCAAGACGGAAAGACCCCGUGAACCUUUACUAUAGCUUGACACUGAACAUUGAGCCUUGAUGUGUAGGAUAGGUGGGAGGCUUUGAAGCGUGGACGCCAGUCUGCGUGGAGCCAACCUUGAAAUACCACCCUUUAAUGUUUGAUGUUCUAACGUGGACCCGUAAUCCGGGUUGCGGACAGUGUCUGGUGGGUAGUUUGACUGGGGCGGUCUCCUCCUAAAGAGUAACGGAGGAGCACGAAGGUUGGCUAAUCCUGGUCGGACAUCAGGAGGUUAGUGCAAUGGCAUAAGCCAGCUUGACUGCGAGCGUGACGGCGCGAGCAGGUGCGAAAGCAGGUCAUAGUGAUCCGGUGGUUCUGAAUGGAAGGGCCAUCGCUCAACGGAUAAAAGGUACUCCGGGGAUAACAGGCUGAUACCGCCCAAGAGUUCAUAUCGACGGCGGUGUUUGGCACCUCGAUGUCGGCUCAUCACAUCCUGGGGCUGAAGUAGGUCCCAAGGGUAUGGCUGUUCGCCAUUUAAAGUGGUACGCGAGCUGGGUUUAGAACGUCGUGAGACAGUUCGGUCCCUAUCUGCCGUGGGCGCUGGAGAACUGAGGGGGGCUGCUCCUAGUACGAGAGGACCGGAGUGGACGCAUCACUGGUGUUCGGGUUGUCAUGCCAAUGGCACUGCCCGGUAGCUAAAUGCGGAAGAGAUAAGUGCUGAAAGCAUCUAAGCACGAAACUUGCCCCGAGAUGAGUUCUCCCUGAGACUUAGAGUCUCCUGAAGGAACGUUGAAGACGACGACGUUGAUAGGCCGGGUGUGUAAGCGCAGCGAUGCGUUGAGCUAACCGGUACUAAUGAACCGUGAGGCUUAACCUU